AGCGAACGCUGGCGGCAGGCUUAACACAUGCAAGUCGAGCGGGCACUUCGGUGUCAGCGGCAGACGGGUGAGUAACACGUGGGAACGUACCCUUCGGUUCGGAAUAACGCUGGGAAACUAGCGCUAAUACCGGAUACGCCCUUUUGGGGAAAGGUUUACUGCCGAAGGAUCGGCCCGCGUCUGAUUAGCUAGUUGGUGGGGUAAUGGCCUACCAAGGCGUCGAUCAGUAGCUGGUCUGAGAGGAUGAUCAGCCACACUGGGACUGAGACACGGCCCAGACUCCUACGGGAGGCAGCAGUGGGGAAUAUUGGACAAUGGGCGCAAGCCUGAUCCAGCCAUGCCGCGUGAGUGAUGAAGGCCUUAGGGUUGUAAAGCUCUUUUGUCCGGGACGAUAAUGACGGUACCGGAAGAAUAAGCCCCGGCUAACUUCGUG
RNAcentral lists this ribosomal RNA (433 nucleotides) under uncultured bacterium. Its description in RNAcentral is "partial 16S ribosomal RNA". It matches the Rfam family "Bacterial small subunit ribosomal RNA", at positions 29 to 507 of the family's 1533-position model. The record is from RNAcentral.